Long non-coding RNA from Mirounga angustirostris (Northern elephant seal), 4547 nucleotides. RefSeq lists it as uncharacterized. Lineage: Eukaryota; Metazoa; Chordata; Mammalia; Carnivora; Phocidae. The transcript is spliced from 3 exons. The record is from RefSeq and is a predicted model, not a curated record.
AGGUUGGUAGAAAUGGGCGGACGCGCUGAGCGCAGUCAGAAAGCCCUGUCCCCAUGGCGGUGGGGGCCAUGACAAAACGGGAACAAUGGCGUGGAGGAAAAGAAGUGCCGAGGGGAUUUGGCAGCACGAGCAGAGAAAAGCAGAGGCAGAGUGUAGCUGAGUCACCACACUGGCAGAGCAUUAGAGAAGGAGCAACGGAUGCCUACUGCUGAAGCCAUGUCAAGAAAAACAGGUGGCUGGAGACACUGAAGCCUGAAUCACCCUCCCGGGACCUGAAAGACAGCAUCCACGACAGGAAACAAAAUCGAGAAAGACAUCUCUUCAUUCUGUGGAAGUGUCUGCUUGGAAGCCCCAGAGCUGAGAGGAGGAGGAGAUGAUGAUUUUAUUUAUUUAUUUGAGAGAGAGAGAGCACACGAGCAGAGGGAGAAGAGAGGACAGAGGGAGAAGCAGACUUCCCGCUGCAGGGAGCCCAAUGCGGGACUCGAUCCCAGGACCCUGAGAUCAUGACCUGAGUUGAAGGCAGCUGCUUAACCGACUGAGCCACCCAGGUAACCCAAAAGAACAUGAUCUUUAAAAUGAUUUUUGAUAUCUAUUGCCAAAUUUAUCUUCAAAUUAUUUCUGUCCACUUAUGAUUUUCCUUGCCACCCCCAGCACUGUAGGAGAUUCCAUUUCAUCUGUUAUUAAUCUUUAGAACUGUUUUAAUCUUUGCCAACUUGAUAAGCACUAAAUGAUAUCUCGUUUUUAUGCUCUUCUAUUAUUUUUCCACACAAAUUUCAGAAUAAUUUUACAAAAUAAAGAGAGAGAGGAGGAAGAGAAGGGAGGAGGAGAAAGAAGAGAAGACAGAGAAAACUAAAGAAUUCUUUUCCCCUUAGGAUUUUUUUUGGAUUAAAAAAAUCCCAAAGUGCUUAAAAAUGACAUACAUAAUACAUUAAUAUACUAUUAUUUAGGAAAUCAAACAUCAAAAGUAUAUAGGAAGGAAAAUUUUUAAUUCCCUCUUUAUCCCCUCCCCCCUUCAACUGCCCUCCCCUCUCCAGAGAUAAAAUUUUUAGUGUUUUUUGAAAAAAUCUGUAUGAAUUUUUAUUUAUAUGUGUAGACAUAUAUAAUUUUUGUUAAAUUGAUUGUUUUGCUUCUUUUUUUUCUAUUCUUGCCUUGGAAAUUAUACAUACUAUCUCUAUUCCUCUAAUAGUUAUUCUUAAAAAUGAAGUACUUCAUUAAACAUAACAAUAUCUAGAAUUAAACCAUGGCUGUAUCCUUUCCAAAUAAUAAGACAAAGCCUUAGGUAGUCUUUAUUUCUCUUUUACUUCCACUUCUGACCAUAAGAAAAUCAUCUAGGAUUUUUUUUUUUUUAAGAUUUUAUUUAUUUAUUUUAGAGAGAGAAUGUGCAAGUGGGAGGUAGGGGCAGAGGAAGAGGGAGAGAGAGAAUCUCAAGUAGACUCCACACUGAGUGCGGAGCCUGAUGCAGGGCUGGAUCUCAUUACGCUGAGAUCAUGACCUGAGCUGAAAUCAAGAGUUGGAUGCUUAACUGACUGAGCCACCCAGGUGCCCCUCAUCUGGGAUUUUAAUUCAAGGUUUUCAUCAAUCUUUUUACAUUGCAUAUUACAAUUAUUUAGACUUAAUUACCCACCUUUCUACAUAAGGUUUUUUGUGCCCCACUUUUUUUCCUUUUUUACUAACAAGUUUUAUUUUUCUGAAGUAUGUUCUUUUUUUUUUUAAGAUUUUAUUUUUAAGUAAUUCUAUACCCAAUGUAAGGCUUGAACUCACAACCCUGAGAUCAAGAGUCACAUGCUUUACUGACUGAGCCAACUGGGUACCUCAUGAAGUAUGUUCUUAAGUAAUUUUCAGAAAGGAGAGGAUAAACUUUCUGCAACAUUUCAUGUUCAAGGAAGUGUUUAUUUUAUCCUCUCACUUGAAUGCUAGCUGAUAUAAUUUUAGAUUAAAAAUUCUUUUGUCUGAUAUUUUUGAGGAUUUGCUCUAUUAUUGUCCUCUAUAAUCCAGUGUUGUUGAUAAGAAAACUCUUAACAAAUUCCCUGGGUUUUUUUGGUUGUUUGGUUGGUUUUUAAAUGAGAGACUUCUUCCUUUUUAUAAUCUUUUAUGCUUUAUUCUCAUGGUGCAAUGCAUAAUUCUCAGAAUGAGUGCCUCCUUACAGCUUCAUCCCAGGCCCAGCCCUGAAGCCAGACAUUGUAUAUUCUCUAAAAAGAGUAGUAAACAAGGUCAGCAGGGUCUCUGUCUGCAAGGAGGUUACAUUUGAGGGUUGGGCUGAGAGAGACACGACAAUAAACAAAUGAAUAAAUGAAAGAAUUAAGGUUAAAAAAAAAAGGGAACAUGUUGCUCUAAUAGAGAACAAGGGAUUGAAUGUAUAGUUCUUUAAGAUGAGGUUAACAUUUAGGAACAUAUAGAUUUGUAUGUGUGUGUCUUACCUUCUCUUUUCCAUUUUCUACCUUUUGUUUCUCCAUGCUACAUUCUGGACAUUUUCUUCUUAGAUAUCUUUGGGUUCACUAAUUUUUUGCUUCUUUGUCUAAUCUGCUGUUAAACCUGUUAAGAGUUAACCUGAGUUCUUAAUUUCAAUUACUGUAUUUUCAGUCCUAUAAUUUUUAUUUAUUUGAUUUUCAAGUCUGAAGUGUCACUUUUAUAGUUCAUAGGUUUUUGCCAAAAUUUUAAAGCUUAUCUUUUAUCUUCUGAACAUAGUAAACAUGGUUGUUUUAUAAUCUGUGUAAUAUCUAUUAGAAUCUAAAAUAUCUCUGUGUUGGUUUCUGUUGUCUGUUAUUUCUGUUGGUUCUUGCCCAUAGUGUUUUGUCUUUUUCAUGUGACUAGUUAUUCUUGAUUGUGUUCUAAACAUCUUUUUUUUAAAAAAAAGAUAUUAUUUAUUUAUUUAGAGAGCAAGCGGCAGGAGGGGCAGAGGGAGAGGGAGAGAGAAUCUCAAGCAGACUCUGUGCAGAGUGCAGAGCCCAAUGCAGGGCUUGAUCCUACGACCAUGAAAUCAUAACCUGAGCUGAAAUCAAGAGUUGGACACUUAACCGACUGAGCCACCCAGGUGCCCAGUAAACUUGUAGAAAUAGUUUGAGGCCUGAAAUAAUGUUAUCUUCAGCAUGAGACCAGUUUCGCUAUUUUCUGUAUCACAUGAGUGUGUUAGUAGUCUGGAGUCACCUUAAUCAAGCAUGUAUUGACUGAAAUUGUUACCCCUAUGGGUGAUAUAAAACUGGGCAGAAUCUGGGUGAGGGCUGAUUUACUCCAGUUUACCUUUACUCCCAGGGUGCAGUCCUUCAGGGUCCUAACUCAAAGGAGGGGUGGAGGAUAUAUUUUAUCAGAGAACUGGGAUGAUCCUGUUUGAUUUUUUGUAUUCCUCAUCCCAGAGAAGCUGUCAGUAUCACAGUCGUCCUCUCAGCCUUUUUUUUCUCCAGAUUGGCCAGUGUCCCCUGCACAAAAGUAGUGUCAGUGCCAGGCUCACUUCUCUGGAUUCAUGUCUUUUUCUGGAUCUUGGUACUUGAAAUAAAAGUUUCUUUUUCUGGGGUGCCUGGGUAGCUCAGUCAGUUAAGCAUCUGAUUCUUGGUUUUGGCUCAGGUCAUGAUCUCAGGGUCAUGAAAUCAAGCCCUGAAUUGGGCUCCAUGCUUAGCUCAGAGUCUGCUUGAGAUUCUCUUCCUCUCCCUCUGCCCCUCACUCACUGUCUCUCUCUCUCUCUCAAAUGAAUAAAUAAAUCUUAAAAAAAAAAAAGAAGAAGUUCCUCUUUCUGACAAACUCAAAACAAGCUUUAUUUUGCCAAAAGAAAAAUAAAACCUCCCUAUGAAACCUCUUUAUGGAACUCCCUCUGCACCUUCAGCAAGGGUUUCCAAACCUGGAUGAUUAACAGAGUCACUUGAGGAGCCUUUAAAAUGGCCCAAUCCUGGGAGGUGUGUACCUUGGUAGGUGAAGACUUUCUCAUGUUCUGUGAUCACAAGUGGUUUUAAGAUAGUCUCCAGAUCCCCAAUGUCCACAUAUAUUUUUUCCUAAGAAACCACUUGUAAUUAGGUAUUCCCUUUCAUGGAGCCAUUUUCCUACUAAUAGCUACCGAAGCCAAACUAGCCAAUUGAAGUACACAGUCCUUCUGCCUUGAGUGGUUUCAGUAUAUCAACAUAACUGAAACAAGGAUAAUCAGACUCCUGUGUGGGAUUUUUUUCAAGGGCCAUCAGGAAAGAUUUGUACCUUCCACUGUGGUGAUUUAUUUUAUUUAUUGUUAUUGAAAACACUAUGGAUAUGCAUUAUGAUAAAUUAUUACACUUUCUUUUUUAUUGCAUUUUCUUUUUAAACAUUUUAAAUAUUUUACAUGUAACUCCAAAUGAUUCUUAAAUUCAUAGCUUCCCACUGGUAUCUUUGUUUCUCUUAGUUGUUGAAGAGUAAUGAUAUUUUUAGUUGGUUCUGAGCAUUGUCAAACACUGAUAUUUUUGGAGUUGUCUUUCUGGCAUUUAAGAAAAAGCCCAGGAGAACUUGGAGCUGACCUAAUGGCAUGUCAUUGGGUGGUUACAGAUUUUCCUCUUGCAGUAGAACAAUGCUUCCUUUUGCCAACUGCCUUAAUU